Molecule: ribosomal RNA, 253 nt
Filed under: uncultured bacterium
Lineage: Bacteria
Description: partial 16S ribosomal RNA
Rfam family: Bacterial small subunit ribosomal RNA
Source: RNAcentral
UACGAAAGGGGCUAGCGUUGCUCGGAAUUACUGGGCGUAAAGCGCACGUAGGCGGCCUUGGAAGUUGGGGGUGAAAUCCCGGAGCUCAACUCCGGAACUGCCUUCAAAACUACCAAGCUAGAGGAUGUGAGAGGAUAGGGGAAUUCCGGGUGUAGAGGUGAAAUUCGUAGAUAUUCGGAAGAACACCGGUGGCGAAGGCGACUGUCUGGCCCAUUUCUGACGCUGAGGUGCGCAAGCGUGGGGAGCAAACAGG